Molecule: unclassified non-coding RNA, 1230 nt
Filed under: Leishmania donovani
Lineage: Eukaryota; Euglenozoa; Kinetoplastea; Trypanosomatida; Trypanosomatidae
Description: gene:unknown
Source: RNAcentral
CGGCACGAAGACGCAGGCCGAGCACGGUCCCCCCCCUCCUACACACACGCGCACGCGCACGCGUAUGCUGCCGGUGUUUCCGUUUCUGUUUUCGUGCUAUCGCUUGAUUUGACGUUCGCAUGUUUCCUUCGAUUUCUCUCGUUUUCGUCUCUCUCCCUAUGCAGAGUCGCAUGGACGUGUGCGUGUGCGUGCCCUCUGCCAUUUUCCCGUUGUGUCUCCGUGCCGCUGCCCUGCUCCUCGUCUUCCCCGCCCCCUCCAUGCGCGUGUGCGUGUGCGGGCGAGGCGGCUGAUCGAGGGGACGACGAGGUGGAGAGCAGCCACGGCACCGCAGCGCUGGGGAUACAUGGGCAGUGUGCAGGAGCAGCGGAGGAGAGGCACGCACACGCACUCUGGCAAGGGAGUAGUGGUGCGGAGGCCGCAGGGGAAUACGCAGCGGAGCGAGUGGGUACGGAGGCGGAGCGGAGGAGAGGCAGCGCUGCUUCUCUGUUCGCCCCGCUUGCGUUGGACUCGAGUGUGUCUGCGUGUGCGCCCCCUGCGGCCCUCGGCCCCCUCGCCUCUCUUGCGCGCUUCGCGUCGCUUGUUUCGUUGCUGUGGCUGUCUAACUACGCCAUCGAGUCGGCCAGAGUCGCGUGCGCGGAGUAUUCACACCAUAUUACGGCAUGCGGCAUGCACCUACACCAGCCCCUGCGGCCUGCACGGCAGACGCCGCCGCCUCCGCCCUCGAGCAGGACCCUGCACCGGGGUCCGUGUGGCGCCGGUCGCGCUGCACGCGUGCGAGGGCGAUACGCGGAGGGACAAGGCGAGCCCCGCUAGCAGCAUGGCCCGACUCGACGGCUGAACGGCUCGUCGUGGACGGCGCGGAUGUGGCCGCCGUGCGACAGGGGUGGGUGGGCUGCGGCUGUAUGCGUGCACGUGUGGACUCGGUCGUGAUGGAGUGAGACGUUGAUAAGGAAGUGCUCUGCUUUCCCUGGCAAGCACGCGAAGGAGGAGGUAACCACGGCAACCACAAAACGACACGUAUAUACAUACAUACAUACAUAUAUAUCAUCAUCCAUGUCGGCGUGCGCCAACAGACCAUCAAAACUCCCCGGACUUUGUUUUCCCCGCCGACCGCCGCCCCCGUGUGCUCGCCCGAGCGGACGGAGCGCGUGCGCCCUUUUCUCCUCGUGCUUCUCCAUUGCUUGCUUUUUGCUUGCUGUCUCUUUUGUUGUUGUCUCCGUUCCUCGACUG